This 254-nucleotide ribosomal RNA is filed under the name uncultured bacterium. Its description in RNAcentral is "partial 16S ribosomal RNA". It matches the Rfam family "Bacterial small subunit ribosomal RNA", at positions 524 to 776 of the family's 1533-position model. The record is from RNAcentral.
UACGUAGGGUGCAAGCGUUGUCCGGAAUUAUUGGGCGUAAAGAGCUCGUAGGCGGUUCGUCGCGUCGGCUGUGAAAACCUGAGGCUCAACCUCAGGCCUGCAGUCGAUACGGGCGGACUUGAGUACUGCAGGGGAGACUGGAAUUCCUGGUGUAGCGGUGAAAUGCGCAGAUAUCAGGAGGAACACCGGUGGCGAAGGCGGGUCUCUGGGCAGUAACUGACGCUGAGGAGCGAAAGCCGUGGGGAGCGAACAGG